RNAcentral lists this ribosomal RNA (642 nucleotides) under Triticum aestivum (bread wheat). RNAcentral describes it as "partial small subunit ribosomal RNA". Lineage: Eukaryota; Viridiplantae; Streptophyta; Magnoliopsida; Poales; Poaceae. The record is from RNAcentral.
AUGAUGGACGUGAGGGGCUUGAGAUUGGGUUAUUUCUUGGUCCUAUGCCUCGUGCCUUUCUUGCGCCAUGCCGUGGCUAUUCGCUUUGUGAUGGACAGGGAAGAGUGCUUCUCUCACAAUGUUGAUUAUGAAGGGGAUACAGUUCAUGUAUCAUUUGUUGUGAUCAAGGCAGACACUCCAUGGCACUAUAGCGAGGAUGGUGUCGAUCUCGUGGUGAAAGACCCUAAUGGCAAUCAGGUCCAUGAUUCUCGUGCCAAGGUUAGUGAUAAGUUCGAAUUCAUAGUUCAGAAGAGAGGUGUCCACCGUUUCUGCUUCACCAACAAGUCCCCGUAUCAUGAAACUGUGGACUUUGAUGUGCAUGUUGGUCAUUUUUCAUAUUUUGACCAGCAUGCCAAAGAUGAGCAUUUUGGUCCUUUGUUUGAACAAAUAAGAAAGUUGGAUGAUGAUCUGUACAACGUUCUGUUUGAACAGCACUGGCUAACUGCCCAAACAGACCGCCAAGCAAUAUUAAAUGAGAACAUGAGCACGAGGGCAAUUCACAAGGCACUCCUCGAAUCAGCUGCCCUUAUUGCAGCCAGUGCUGUGCAGGUCUACUUGCUGCGACGCCUCUUCGAGCGUAAGCUCGGUACAUCUAGGGUCUAA